ACCUACGGGGGGCAGCAGUGAGGAAUAUUGGUCAAUGGGCGGGAGCCUGAACCAGCCAAGCCGUGUGAAGGAAGAAGACGCCAGGCGUCGUAAACUUCUUUUGUCGGGGAACAAAGGGCGCCACGUGUGGCGUUGUGAGUGUACCCGAAGAAAAAGCAUCGGCUAACUCCGUGCCAGCAGCCGCGGUAAUACGGAGGAUGCGAGCGUUAUCCGGAUUUAUUGGGUUUAAAGGGUGCGUAGGCGGUCCGGAAAGUCAGCGGUAAAAGCCCGGG
RNAcentral lists this ribosomal RNA (272 nucleotides) under uncultured bacterium. Its description in RNAcentral is "partial 16S ribosomal RNA". It matches the Rfam family "Bacterial small subunit ribosomal RNA", at positions 337 to 606 of the family's 1533-position model. The record is from RNAcentral.